AUGAACGCUGGCGGCGUGCCUAAUACAUGCAAGUCGAGCGAACGGACGAGAAGCUUGCUUCUCUGAUGUUAGCGGCGGACGGGUGAGUAACACGUGGAUAACCUACCUAUAAGACUGGGAUAACUUCGGGAAACCGUAGCUAAUACCGGAUAAUAUUUUGAACCGCAUGGUUCAAAAGUGAAAGACGGUCUUGCUGUCACUUAUAGAUUGAUCCGCGCUGCAUUAGCUAGUUGGUAAGGUAACGGCUUACCAAGGCAACGAUGCAUAGCCGACCUGAGAGGGUGAUCGGCCACACUGGAACUGAGACACGGUCCAGACUCCUACGGGAGGCAGCAGUAGGGAAUCUUCCGCAAUGGGCGAAAGCCUGACGGAGCAACGCCGCGUGAGUGAUGAAGGUCUUCGGAUCGUAAAACUCUGUUAUUAGGGAAGAACAUAUGUGUAAGUAACUGUGCACAUCUUGACGGUACCUAAUCAGAAAGCCACGGCUAACUACGUG
Molecule: ribosomal RNA, 496 nt
Filed under: uncultured bacterium
Lineage: Bacteria
Description: partial 16S ribosomal RNA
Rfam family: Bacterial small subunit ribosomal RNA
Source: RNAcentral